GGAGUCUGGGCCGUGUCUCAGUCCCAGUGUGGCUGAUCAUCCUCUCAGACCAGCUAUGGAUCGUCUCCUUGGUGAGCCUUUACCUCACCAACUAGCUAAUCCAACGCGGGCCGAUCCUUUGCCGAUAAAUCUUUCCCCCGAAGGGCACAUACGGUAUUAGCACAAGUUUCCCUGAGUUAUUCCGUAGCAAAAGGUACGUUCCCACGCGUUACUCACCCGUCUGCCGCUCCCCUUGCGGGGCGCUCGACUUGCAUGUGUUAAGCCUGCCGCCAGCGUCGUUCUGAGCCAUGAUCAAACUACU
Molecule: ribosomal RNA, 301 nt
Filed under: uncultured Ochrobactrum sp.
Lineage: Bacteria; Pseudomonadati; Pseudomonadota; Alphaproteobacteria; Hyphomicrobiales; Brucellaceae
Description: partial 16S ribosomal RNA
Source: RNAcentral